UUAAAUCUGCAUUGAUUUAUGCGGCGUUAGACGCGUUUUUGCAAUAUGGCCGCAAUUCAAACGUCGUUUUCACGUUCGCAACCACCAAGUUGCAUCAUCCCAUAAAACACAUAAUGUCUACAAUGUAUCUAUUCCAAUUAGAAUGUAGUUUAAUAGUGCAGUCGAAAGGCCUUAUCAGUUGUUUGUCUGCUUUUCACAUGUUUCAAACGUUCACUUUGCGGCAGUAGAGUGCCAAUUUUACAGCACUGCUAACACAAAGAGAGGCCAUGUUGUUGUUUUGAUUUUAACAUUCCAACACAAUUCGGCACUGCUGAUAACGCACUCUUAUUUUUAUUUUCAAGCGUUGCAUUUAUCAUUUAGUUAUUCUUUAGUACUUGUUACAUUUUAAUUCUGUUUUAUUUUCUGUUUCUUGUGUGCGAUGUUGUUGAUGCUGCAUUCCGAUCGGAUUAUCAACCGACUUCUUGAAACCGUUCCUGUUUCCCAUCGCAGGCAUAUGACAUUCCCCGGUCCGCCACAAGAUGUCCAGGAGUAGUCAUGCUUUCCCAGGAAUGGGAACAGGUUUGAACAUUGCUACAAAGUUUUUACAUUGUCUCUAAUAAUUUUGAAUUUUUCUGUUACUAACUACUUUCUGCUUGUCUUUCAGGUACAUAUUUGAUUUAUUUGGGCAUUUUUGUAAUUCGGGCGCGUUCGUUAUAGGUUUAUGUACUUUGUGUGUUUACUAAUAUUCCACUCCUUCAUGUUUAAACAAACUUCCUCUUAAUAUCAUUAUUAUUUUAUUAUUUUUUAAUUAUUUUUUUAUUCUUUUAAUAUUCUUUCAUAAUUUAAAAAAAUCCUUGCCAAUUUAGAUUAAUUUAUUAUUUAUUUAUUAUUUUAUUCUUAAAAAAAAUUAGUUCCGAAUAUCUACUAAAUCAUCCUUACCCAGUAUUUUUAAUCUUCGUUUGAUUCACAGGUAUAAGUGAUAAACGUUAUUCGCGAGGGACCUGGAGAGGUGUAACGAAAUACUUAUCGAGUGCGGGUUGCGACGCGUUUUAAUUUAACAAUUUUAUUGAAUCGCGAUCAAUUAGCUACCGAAGGAGGGUCGUGCCUUGUCCCCUUUCACCUGUUAGGGAAAGUACGCGGUGUUUAUAAAUAUUUAUCCAAAUAUGCGACAAAUCGAGUGCGGGACGCGAUUAAAAAUCGGAAAGUAUUGCGUAAUCCGUAUUGUUCUAUUAUAAUGCGCGAUAAAAACAAUUCCAAUUCCAUGAAGGUUUGUACGGGACCUCAACGGACUUCAAGCAUCCUACCAGCGGUUUGGACUCAAGAUUGUAUUAAAAUAUCAACGCCUUAAGUAUUACAGCAUUCGUUGUGCCCGGCAGUCCGAUAAGCUGUACACUGUAUUCGCUGUACCAUGGAGUCUGAUGAGUUCUUAAUUAACGUAAACGUUAACGCUACCCAUCUACGGUGCCCUAAAUGGGUGUAACUUCUACCGCUACCUUCGUACGGUGCCUUGAAUGGGAGUCACUUCUACCGCUAUCUUCGUACUUUGCCUUAAAUGGGAGUCUUUAUGGAUCCUUUGUUGAAUGAAGCAUUAGCUAAUCCUGAGAUGGACAACUUUAUCAAUAAGGACCAACUGGAGAGGUUCCGUGGUACUGGUGGAGUGCGUAUUGAGGAUUAUGUUUUGUUUACUGAAGAUGGAUGUGUCAACUGGACUAAAAUACCCAGAACUGUCCAAGAAAUUGAAGAUUGGAUUGCCGGUGUUGAUGAUGAUUCCAAAUACGAUUGAAUGAAUUUACAACAUUUUGAAGCUGAUAUUGAUAUCAUUUUUAUGUAUUUUGUUAAAAGAUAUAAAGCAUUAUAUAAUUGCAUAUUAUUAUCCUGUUUUCAUGCAUGUUUUGUUAAAAAUGGUGUAUAUAUUGAGAAAUUGUGUUUGUGAAUCAACAUGUUUCAAUAAAAUUGUUGUUUUAUAUUUUUAACUAUAAA
This is an RNA transcript of Dalotia coriaria, 1959 nucleotides long. It is a transcript of the gene named xaa-Pro dipeptidase-like, with no coding region annotated. The transcript has 6 exons. Lineage: Eukaryota; Metazoa; Arthropoda; Insecta; Coleoptera; Staphylinidae. The record is from RefSeq and is a predicted model, not a curated record.